Non-coding RNA from Aedes aegypti (yellow fever mosquito), 72 nucleotides. The record is from Rfam. NCBI's taxonomy places the organism in Eukaryota, Metazoa, Arthropoda, Insecta, Diptera, Culicidae.
GUAGCUGUAGUAUAAUUAGUAAUGCGUCCGUGUACAGAGUGAAAAUUGUGGGUUCAAGUCCCGCCGGAUACA